CAAAACCUGACGCAUCGCAAGAGCUUGGCAGAUGUUGAAUUGAAAUCACGGAGAGAUACUGAUUAAAUUCUAGGUCGCGCCCUGCAGGGAAAACCAAGGUCAGCACACAUACCUCUUCUCUUCAGACGAUUUCUUGCUAUCUGGGGACAGGGCAUAUUCCCUGCAGCUAAGUGCUGUGUUGGAAGAGAGAGCCAAAUAAGUUCCAAGAAAGGCUCAUGGAUGUG
This is a long non-coding RNA of Mus musculus (house mouse), 224 nucleotides long. RefSeq annotates it as predicted gene, 31551. The record is from RefSeq and is a predicted model, not a curated record. The transcript has 3 exons. Lineage: Eukaryota; Metazoa; Chordata; Mammalia; Rodentia; Muridae.